This 253-nucleotide ribosomal RNA is filed under the name uncultured bacterium. RNAcentral's name for it is "partial 16S ribosomal RNA". It matches the Rfam family "Bacterial small subunit ribosomal RNA", at positions 524 to 776 of the family's 1533-position model. The record is from RNAcentral.
GACGUAGGGUGCGAGCGUUGUCCGGAUUUAUUGGGCGUAAAGAGCUCGUAGGCGGCUCGUCGCGUCGACCGUGAAAACCCGCAGCUUAACUGCGGGCUUGCGGUUGAUACGGGCGGGCUAGAGUUCGGUAGGGGAGACUGGAAUUCCUGGUGUAGCGGUGGAAUGCGCAGAUAUCAGGAGGAACACCGGUGGCGAAGGCGGCUCACUGGUCCAUUACUGACGCUGAGGUGCGAAAGCGUGGGGAGCAAACAGG